UACGAAGGGGGCUAGCGUUGCUCGGAAUCACUGGGCGUAAAGGGCGCGUAGGCGGGUGCUCAAGUCCGUGGUGAAAUCCUCCGGCUCAACCGGAGAACUGCCUCGGAUACUGGGUGCCUCGAGGGUGGUAGGGGUAUGCGGAACUAUCGGUGGAGCGGUGAAAUGCGUUGAUAUCGAUAGGAACUCCGGUGGCGAAGGCGGCAUACUGGACCACCUCUGACGCUGAGGCGCGAAAGCCAGGGGAGCAAACGGG
RNAcentral lists this ribosomal RNA (253 nucleotides) under uncultured bacterium. Its description in RNAcentral is "partial 16S ribosomal RNA". It matches the Rfam family "Bacterial small subunit ribosomal RNA", at positions 524 to 776 of the family's 1533-position model. The record is from RNAcentral.